ACGAACGCUGGCGGCGUGCUUAACACAUGCAAGUCGAACGAUGAAGCCCUUCGGGGUGGAUUAGUGGCGAACGGGUGAGUAACACGUGGGCAAUCUGCCCUUCACUCUGGGACAAGCCCUGGAAACGGGGUCUAAUACCGGAUAACACUCCUGCCUGCAUGGGUGGGGGUUAAAAGCUCCGGCGGUGAAGGAUGAGCCCGCGGCCUAUCAGCUUGUUGGUGAGGUAGUGGCUCACCAAGGCGACGACGGGUAGCCG
This 256-nucleotide ribosomal RNA is filed under the name Streptomyces sp. ISO156_OTU396. RNAcentral's name for it is "partial 16S ribosomal RNA". It matches the Rfam family "Bacterial small subunit ribosomal RNA", at positions 29 to 289 of the family's 1533-position model. The record is from RNAcentral. Lineage: Bacteria; Bacillati; Actinomycetota; Actinomycetes; Kitasatosporales; Streptomycetaceae. RNAcentral also lists the same sequence under 3 other names.